Small nuclear RNA from Arabidopsis thaliana (thale cress), 153 nucleotides. Lineage: Eukaryota; Viridiplantae; Streptophyta; Magnoliopsida; Brassicales; Brassicaceae. The record is from RefSeq.
AAUGCAUGAAGUGAUUCCAAGUUGAAAAUCUGUGUCCUGCCAGCAUAAUCGUAAGUUGUCAAAAUAUGUGUGAGGUUGUGUCUUUCAACAAUAAAAGUUGAAAAAAUCAACAGCAAGUCCCUGUAAAAAUAGUCAAGGGUAGAGAGAAGUUCA